This 2147-nucleotide ribosomal RNA is filed under the name Lactococcus lactis subsp. lactis. Its description in RNAcentral is "bacterial LSU rRNA". It matches the Rfam family "Bacterial large subunit ribosomal RNA", at positions 1 to 2172 of the family's 2925-position model. Lineage: Bacteria; Bacillati; Bacillota; Bacilli; Lactobacillales; Streptococcaceae. The record is from RNAcentral.
CAAAGUUAAUAAGGGCGCACGGUGGAUGCCUUGGCACUAAGAGCCGAUGAAGGACGUGACUAACGACGAUAUUCUAGGGGGAGCAGUAAGUACGCAUUGAUCCCUAGGUCUCCGAAUGGGGAAACCCAGCUGCUACUAGCAGUUAUUCAUGAGUGAAUACAUAGCUCAUGUAAAGGUAACGCAGAGAACUGAAACAUCUAAGUACCUGCAGGAAGAGAAAGUAAAAACGAUUUCGUAAGUAGCGGCGAGCGAACGCGAAGAAGGGCAAACCAAGAAGCUUGCUUCUUGGGGUUGUAGGACUGCAACGUGGACUUAAGCAUUAUAGUCGAAUAACCUGGGAAGGUUAAUCAAAGAGGGUAAUAAUCCCGUAGACGAAAUAGCGCUUAUACCUAGCAGUAUCCUGAGUAGGGCUGGACACGCGAAAUCCAGUUUGAAUCCGGGAGGACCAUCUCCCAACCCUAAAUACUCCUUAGUGACCGAUAGUGAACCAGUACCGUGAGGGAAAGGUGAAAAGAACCCCGAGAGGGGAGUGAAAUAGCACCUGAAACCGUGUGCCUACAAGAAGUUCGAGCCCGUUAAUGGGUGAGAGCGUGCCUUUUGUAGAAUGAACCGGCGAGUUACGUUAUGAUGCGAGGUUAAGUUGAAGAGACGGAGCCGUAGGGAAACCGAGUCUGAAUAGGGCGACUUAGUAUCAUGAUGUAGACCCGAAACCUAGUGACCUAUCCAUGAGCAGGGUGAAGGUGUGGUAAGACGCACUGGAGGCCCGAACCAGGACACGUUGAAAAGUGUUUGGAUGACUUGUGGAUAGCGGAGAAUUCCAAACGAACUGGGAGAUAGCUGGUUCUCUCCGAAAUAGCUUUAGGGCUAGCGUCGAAAUGUAAGUGUAUUGGAGGUAGAGCACUGUUUGGGUGAGGGGUCCGUCUAGGAUUACCAAUCUCAGAUAAACUCCGAAUGCUAAUACACAUGUUCGGCAGUCAGACUGCGAGUGCUAAGAUCCGUAGUCGAAAGGGAAACAGCCCAGACCAACAGCUAAGGUCCCAAAAUAUAUGUUAAGUGGAAAAGGAUGUGGGGUUGCACAGACAACUAGGAUGUUAGCUCAGAAGCAGCUAUCAUUCAAAGAGUGCGUAAUAGCUCACUAGUCGAGUGACCCUGCGCCGAAAAUGUACCGGGGCUAAACAUAUUACCGAAGCUUUGGAUUGAUAUUUUAUCAAUGGUAGGAGAGCGUUCUUAACCGCGAUGAAGGUAUACCGUGAGGAGUGCUGGAGCGUUAAGAAGUGAGAAUGCCGGUAUGAGUAGCGCAAGAUAAGUGAGAAUCUUAUCCACCGUAAGACUAAGGUUUCCAGGGGAAGGCUCGUCCGCCCUGGGUUAGUCGGGACCUAAGGCGAGGCCGAAAGGCGUAGUCGAUGGACAACUGGUUGAUAUUCCAGUACUAGAUAUGAUCGUGAUGGAGGGACGCAGUAGGCUAAGAGAUGCCAGUUAAUGGAUUCUGGUCUAAGCAGUGAGGUGUGAGAUGUGUCAAAUGCAUUUCUCUUUAACAUUGAGCUGUGAUGGGGAAGCAACUACGGUUGCGAACUCUCUGAUGUCACACUGCCAAGAAAAGCUUCUAGCGUAAAGUCAUAUCUACCCGUACCGCAAACCGACACAGGUAGUCGAGGCGAGUAGCCUCAGGUGAUCGAGAGAACUCUCGUUAAGGAACUCGGCAAAAUAGCCCCGUAACUUCGGGAGAAGGGGUGCUGGUGUAAAAGCCAGCCGCAGUGAAUAGGCCCAAGCAACUGUUUAUCAAAAACACAGCUCUCUGCUAAACCGCAAGGUGAUGUAUAGGGGGUGACGCCUGCCCGGUGCUGGAAGGUUAAGAGGAGUGCUUAGACGUAAGUCGAAGGUAUGAAUUGAAGCCCCAGUAAACGGCGGCCGUAACUAUAACGGUCCUAAGGUAGCGAAAUUCCUUGUCGGGUAAGUUCCGACCCGCACGAAAGGCGUAAUGAUUUGGGCACUGUCUCAACGAGAGACUCGGUGAAAUUUUAGUACCUGUGAAGAUGCAGGUUACCCGCGACAGGACGGAAAGACCCCAUGGAGCUUUACUGUAGUUUGAUAUUGAGUACCUGUAAGUCAUGUACAGGAUAGGUAGGAGCCAUUGAAAUAGGGACGCU